RNAcentral lists this ribosomal RNA (445 nucleotides) under uncultured bacterium. Its description in RNAcentral is "partial 16S ribosomal RNA". It matches the Rfam family "Bacterial small subunit ribosomal RNA", at positions 354 to 796 of the family's 1533-position model. The record is from RNAcentral.
GUGAGGAAUAUUGGUCAAUGGGCGAGAGCCUGAACCAGCCAAAUCGCGUGAAGGAUGAAGGUAUUAUGUAUUGUAAACUUCUUUUAUCGGGGAAUAAAGUGCGGGACGUGUCCCGUUUUGUAUGUACCCGAAGAAUAAGGAUCGGCUAACUCCGUGCCAGCAGCCGCGGUAAUACGGAGGAUCCAAGCGUUAUCCGGAUUUAUUGGGUUUAAAGGGUGCGUAGGCGGACUGUCAAGUCAGCGGUGAAAGUCCAUGGCUCAACCAUGGAAUUGCCGUUGAAACUGUCGGUCUUGAGUGUAGAUGAGGUAGGCGGAAUUCGUAGUGUAGCGGUGAAAUGCUUAGAUAUUACGAAGAACUCCAAUUGCGUAGGCAGCUUACCAGGCUACAACUGACGCUGAGGCACGAAGGUGCGGGGAUCAAACAGGAUUAGAUACCCUAGUAGUCC